GCAUGUUGGAUGAUGAAGAGAGGAGCUUGUAACCUGUUGGAUGAGUUGCGAACGGGUGAGUAACGCGUAGGUAACCUGCCUUGUAGCGGGGGAUAACUAUUGGAAACGAUAGCUAAUACCGCAUAACAAUGGAUGACACAUGUCAUUUAUUUGAAAGGGGCAAUUGCUCCACUACAAGAUGGACCUGCGUUGUAUUAGCUAGUAGGUGAGGUAACGGCUCACCUAGGCGACGAUACAUAGCCGACCUGAGAGGGUGAUCGGCCACACUGGGACUGAGACACGGCCCAGACUCCUACGGGAGGCAGCAGUAGGGAAUCUUCGGCAAUGGGGGCAACCCUGACCGAGCAACGCCGCGUGAGUGAAGAAGGUUUUCGGAUCGUAAAGCUCUGUUGUAAGUCAAGAACGAGUGUGAGAGUGGAAAGUUCACACUGUGACGGUAGCUUACCAGAAAGGGACGGCUAACUACGUGCCAGCAGCCGCGGUAAUACGUAGGUCCCGAGCGUUGUCCGGAUUUAUUGGGCGUAAAGCGAGCGCAGGCGGUUUGAUAAGUCUGAAGUUAAAGGCUGUGGCUCAACCAUAGUUCGCUUUGGAAACUGUCAAACUUGAGUGCAGAAGGGGAGAGUGGAAUUCCAUGUGUAGCGGUGAAAUGCGUAGAUAUAUGGAGGAACACCGGUGGCGAAAGCGGCUCUCUGGUCUGUAACUGACGCUGAGGCUCGAAAGCGUGGGGAGCGAACAGGAUUAGAUACCCUGGUAGUCCACGCCGUAAACGAUGAGUGCUAGGUGUUGGAUCCUUUCCGGGAUUCAGUGCCGCAGCUAACGCAUUAAGCACUGGUCUUGCAAUUCAGUUGGGCACUCUAGCGAGACUGCCGGUUAUGACCUGGGCUACACACGUGCU
RNAcentral lists this ribosomal RNA (895 nucleotides) under Streptococcus salivarius. RNAcentral's name for it is "bacterial SSU rRNA". It matches the Rfam family "Bacterial small subunit ribosomal RNA", at positions 57 to 873 of the family's 1533-position model. The record is from RNAcentral. Lineage: Bacteria; Bacillati; Bacillota; Bacilli; Lactobacillales; Streptococcaceae.